This 378-nucleotide ribosomal RNA is filed under the name uncultured eukaryote. RNAcentral describes it as "partial 18S ribosomal RNA". It matches the Rfam family "Eukaryotic small subunit ribosomal RNA", at positions 592 to 976 of the family's 1831-position model. The record is from RNAcentral.
CAAUAGCGUAUAUUUAAGUUGUUGCAGUUAAAAAGCUCGUAGUUGGAUUUCGGAUGGGACGCAGCGGUCUCGCAUUGCGUUUGUACUGCUGCAGCCCUCCUUCUUGCCGGGGGCGGCCUCUCGGACUUCACUGUCUGGGGGUCAGAAUCGGCGAUGUUACUUUGAGUAAAUUAGAGUGUUCAAAGCAAGCUUACGCUCUGAAUAUAAUAGCAUGGGAUAACACGACAGGACUCUGGCCUAUCGUGUUGGUCUAUAGGACCAGAGUAAUGAUUAAGAGGGACAGUCGGGGGCAUUCGUAUUCCGUUGUCAGAGGUGAAAUUCUUGGAUUUACGGAAGACGAACAUCUGCGAAAGCAUUUGCCAAGGAUGUUUUCAUUGA